RNAcentral lists this ribosomal RNA (497 nucleotides) under uncultured bacterium. RNAcentral's name for it is "partial 16S ribosomal RNA". It matches the Rfam family "Bacterial small subunit ribosomal RNA", at positions 28 to 507 of the family's 1533-position model. The record is from RNAcentral.
GAUGAACGCUGGCGGCGUGCCUAAUACAUGCAAGUCGAGCGAACAGACGAGGAGCUUGCUCCUCUGACGUUAGCGGCGGACGGGUGAGUAACACGUGGAUAACCUACCUAUAAGACUGGGAUAACUUCGGGAAACCGGAGCUAAUACCGGAUAACAUGUUGAACCGCAUGGUUCAACAGUGAAAGACGGUCUUGCUGUCACUCAUAGAUGGAUCCGCGCCGGAUUAGCUAGGUGGUAAGGUAACGGCUUACCAAGGCAACGAUGCGUAGCCGACCUGAGAGGGUGAUCGGCCAAACUGGAACUGAGACACGGUCCAGACGCCUACGGGAGGCAGCAGUAGGGAAUCUUCCGCAAUGGGCGAAAGCCUGACGGAGCAACGCCGCGUGAGUGAAGAAGGUCUUCGGAUCGUAAAACUCUGUUAUUAGGGAAGAACAAAUGUGUAAGUAACUAUGCAAGUCUUGACGGUACCUAAUCAGAAAGCCACGGCUAACUACGUG